Molecule: ribosomal RNA, 390 nt
Filed under: uncultured bacterium
Lineage: Bacteria
Description: bacterial SSU rRNA
Rfam family: Bacterial small subunit ribosomal RNA
Source: RNAcentral
GACGAACGCUGGCGGCGUGCUUAACACAUGCAAGUGGAGCGACGAACCAGGCUUCGGCCUGGGGCAGAGCCGCGAACGGGUGAGUAACACGUGGGUAACGUGCCCCAAUGACUGGGACAACCCGAGGAAACUCGGGCUAAUACCGGAUAUGCCCCCUCACGAGAGUGAGGUGUGUAAAGGAAGCUUCGGCCUCCGCAUUGGGAUCGGCCCGCGGCGCAUUAGCUUGUUGGUGGGGAACGGCCUACCAAGGCAACGAUGCGUAGCUGGUCUGAGAGGACGAUCAGCCACACUGGGACUGAGACACGGCCCAGACUCCUACGGGAGGCAGCAGUGGGGAAUCUUGCGCAAUGCGCGAAAGCGUGACGCAGCAACGCCGCGUGGGGGGAAGAC